This is a transfer RNA of Camelus ferus (Wild Bactrian camel), 72 nucleotides long. It matches the Rfam family "tRNA". Rfam says of the family: Transfer RNA (tRNA) molecules are approximately 80 nucleotides in length. Their secondary structure includes four short double-helical elements and three loops (D, anti-codon, and T loops). Further hydrogen bonds mediate the characteristic L-shaped molecular structure. tRNAs have two regions of fundamental functional importance: the anti-codon, which is responsible for specific mRNA codon recognition, and the 3' end, to which the tRNAs corresponding amino acid is attached (by aminoacyl-tRNA synthetases). tRNAs cope with the degeneracy of the genetic code in two manners: having more than one tRNA (with a specific anti-codon) for a particular amino acid; and 'wobble' base-pairing, i.e. permitting non-standard base-pairing at the 3rd anti-codon position. NCBI's taxonomy places the organism in Eukaryota, Metazoa, Chordata, Mammalia, Artiodactyla, Camelidae. The record is from Rfam.
GAGGGUAUAGCUGAGUGGUAGAGUGCCUGCUUAGCAUGCUUGAGGUCCUGGGUUCAAUCCCCAGUACCUCCU